RNAcentral lists this ribosomal RNA (253 nucleotides) under uncultured bacterium. Its description in RNAcentral is "partial 16S ribosomal RNA". It matches the Rfam family "Bacterial small subunit ribosomal RNA", at positions 524 to 776 of the family's 1533-position model. The record is from RNAcentral.
UACGUAGGGCGCAAGCGUUAUCCGGAAUUAUUGGGCGUAAAGAGCUCGUAGGCGGUUUGUCGCGUCUGCCGUGAAAGUCCGGGGCUCAACUCCGGAUCUGCGGUGGGUACGGGCAGACUAGAGUGCGGUAGGGGAGACUGGAAUUCCUGGUGUAGCGGUGAAAUGCGCAGAUAUCAGGAGGAACACCGGUGGCGAAGGCGGGUCUCUGGGCCGUAACUGACGCUGAGGAGCGAAAGCCAGGGGAGCAAACGGG